GUGUUCACUUUAGCAGUACAUACACUAAAAAAUUGGAACAGUGAAAGAAGAUUGUCAUGGCCUGUGUGCAAGGAUGACAUGUAUAUUUGAGAAAAUAAUUAGAAAAGU
RNAcentral lists this small nuclear RNA (108 nucleotides) under Nannospalax galili (Upper Galilee mountains blind mole rat). Lineage: Eukaryota; Metazoa; Chordata; Mammalia; Rodentia; Spalacidae. The record is from RNAcentral.